UUAAGCGACUAAGCGUACACGGUGGAUGCCCUGGCAGUCAGAGGCGAUGAAGGACGUGCUAAUCUGCGAAAAGCGUCGGUAAGGUGAUAUGAACCGUUACAGCCGGCGAUGUCCGAAUGGGGAAACCCAGUGCAAUUCGUUGCACUAUCGUUAACUGAAUACAUAGGUUAACGAGGCGAACCGGGGGAACUGAAACAUCUAAGUACCCCGAGGAAAAGAAAUCAACCGAGAUUCCCCCAGUAGCGGCGAGCGAACGGGGAGCAGCCCAGAGUCUGAAUCAGCUUGUGUGUUAGUGGAACGGUCUGGAAAGUCCGACGGUACAGGGUGAUAGUCCCGUACACCAAAAUGCACAGGUUGUGAACUCGAAGAGUAGGGCGGGACACGUGGUAUCCUGUCUGAAUAUGGGGGGACCAUCCUCCAAGGCUAAAUACUCCUGACUGACCGAUAGUGAACCAGUACCGUGAGGGAAAGGCGAAAAGAACCCCGGCGAGGGGAGUGAAAAAGAACCUGAAACCGUGUACGUACAAGCAGUGGGAGCACCUUCGGGUGUGACUGCGUACCUUUUGUAUAAUGGGUCAGCGACUUAUAUUCUGUAGCAAGGUUAACCGUAUAGGGGAGCCGCAGGGAAACCGAGUCUUAACUGGGCGUUAAGUUGCAGGGUAUAGACCCGAAACCCGGUGAUCUAGCCAUGGGCAGGUUGAAGGUUGGGUAACACUAACUGGAGGACCGAACCGACUAAUGUUGAAAAAUUAGCGGAUGACUUGUGGCUGGGGGUGAAAGGCCAAUCAAACCGGGAGAUAGCUGGUUCUCCCCGAAAGCUAUUUAGGUAGCGCCUCGUGAACUCAUCUUCGGGGGUAGAGCACUGUUUCGGCUAGGGGGUCAUCCCGACUUACCAACCCGAUGCAAACUACGAAUACCGAAGAAUGUUAUCACGGGAGACACACGGCGGGUGCUAACGUCCGUCGUGAAGAGGGAAACAACCCAGACCGCCAGCUAAGGUCCCAAAGUCAUGGUUAAGUGGGAAACGAUGUGGGAAGGCACAGACAGCCAGGAUGUUGGCUUAGAAGCAGCCAUCAUUUAAAGAAAGCGUAAUAGCUCACUGGUCGAGUCGGCCUGCGCGGAAGAUGUAACGGGGCUAAACCAUGCACCGAAGCUGCGGCAGCGACACUAUGUGUUGUUGGGUAGGGGAGCGUUCUGUAAGCCUGCGAAGGUGUGCUGUGAGGCAUGCUGGAGGUAUCAGAAGUGCGAAUGCUGACAUAAGUAACGAUAAAGCGGGUGAAAAGCCCGCUCGCCGGAAGACCAAGGGUUCCUGUCCAACGUUAAUCGGGGCAGGGUGAGUCGACCCCUAAGGCGAGGCCGAAAGGCGUAGUCGAUGGGAAACAGGUUAAUAUUCCUGUACUUGGUGUUACUGCGAAGGGGGGACGGAGAAGGCUAUGUUAGCCGGGCGACGGUUGUCCCGGUUUAAGCAUGUAGGCUGGUUGUCCAGGCAAAUCCGGAUAAUCAAGGCUGAGGUGUGAUGACGAGGCACUACGGUGCUGAAGUAACAAAUGCCCUGCUUCCAGGAAAAGCCUCUAAGCAUCAGGUAACAUCAAAUCGUACCCCAAACCGACACAGGUGGUCAGGUAGAGAAUACCAAGGCGCUUGAGAGAACUCGGGUGAAGGAACUAGGCAAAAUGGUGCCGUAACUUCGGGAGAAGGCACGCUGGUGUGUAGGUGAAGUCCCUGCGGAUGGAGCUGAGACCAGUCGAAGAUACCAGCUGGCUGCAACUGUUUAUUAAAAACACAGCACUGUGCAAACACGAAAGUGGACGUAUACGGUGUGACGCCUGCCCGGUGCCGGAAGGUUAAUUGAUGGGGUUAUCCGUAAGGAGAAGCUCUUGAUCGAAGCCCCGGUAAACGGCGGCCGUAACUAUAACGGUCCUAAGGUAGCGAAAUUCCUUGUCGGGUAAGUUCCGACCUGCACGAAUGGCGUAAUGAUGGCCAGGCUGUCUCCACCCGAGACUCAGUGAAAUUGAACUCGCUGUGAAGAUGCAGUGUACCCGCGGCAAGACGGAAAGACCCCGUGAACCUUUACUAUAGCUUGACACUGAACAUUGAGCCUUGAUGUGUAGGAUAGGUGGGAGGCUUUGAAGCGUGGACGCCAGUCUGCGUGGAGCCAACCUUGAAAUACCACCCUUUAAUGUUUGAUGUUCUAACGUUGGCCCCUGACCGGGGUUGCGGACAGUGUCUGGUGGGUAGUUUGACUGGGGCGGUCUCCUCCCAAAGCGUAACGGAGGAGCACGAAGGUUAGCUAAUCCUGGUCGGACAUCAGGAGGUUAGUGCAAUGGCAUAAGCUAGCUUGACUGCGAGCGUGACGGCGCGAGCAGGUGCGAAAGCAGGUCAUAGUGAUCCGGUGGUUCUGAAUGGAAGGGCCAUCGCUCAACGGAUAAAAGGUACUCCGGGGAUAACAGGCUGAUACCGCCCAAGAGUUCAUAUCGACGGCGGUGUUUGGCACCUCGAUGUCGGCUCAUCACAUCCUGGGGCUGAAGUAGGUCCCAAGGGUAUGGCUGUUCGCCAUUUAAAGUGGUACGCGAGCUGGGUUUAGAACGUCGUGAGACAGUUCGGUCCCUAUCUGCCGUGGGCGCUGGAGAAUUGAGGGGGGCUGCUCCUAGUACGAGAGGACCGGAGUGGACGCAUCACUGGUGUUCGGGUUGUCAUGCCAAUGGCACUGCCCGGUAGCUAAAUGCGGAAGAGAUAAGUGCUGAAAGCAUCUAAGCACGAAACUUGCCCCGAGAUGAGUUCUCCCUGAGACUUUAAGUCUCCUGAAGGAACGUUGAAGACGACGACGUUGAUAGGCCGGGUGUGUAAGCGCAGCGAUGCGUUGAGCUAACCGGUACUAAUGAACCGUGAGGCUUAACCUU
This 2900-nucleotide ribosomal RNA is filed under the name Klebsiella pneumoniae. Its description in RNAcentral is "bacterial LSU rRNA". It matches the Rfam family "Bacterial large subunit ribosomal RNA". Lineage: Bacteria; Pseudomonadati; Pseudomonadota; Gammaproteobacteria; Enterobacterales; Enterobacteriaceae. The record is from RNAcentral.